AUUGAACGCUGGCGGCAGGCCUAACACAUGCAAGUCGAACGGUAACAGGAAGCAGCUUGCUGCUUUGCUGACGAGUGGCGGACGGGUGAGUCAUGUCUGGGAAACUGCUCGAUGGAGGGGGAUAACUACUGGAAACGGUAGCUAAUACCGCAUAACGUCGCAAGCCCAAAGAGGGGGACCUUAGGGCCUCUUGCCAUCGGAUUUGCCCUGGUGGGAUUAGCUAGUAGGUGGGGUAACGGCUCACCUAGGCGACGAUCCCUAGCUGGUCUGAGAGGAUGACCAGCCACACUGGAACUGAGACACGGUCCAGACUCCUACGGGAGGCAGCAGUGGGGAAUAUUGCACAAUGGGCGCAAGCCUGAUGCAGCCAUGCCGCGUGUAUGAAGAAGGCCUUCGGGUUGUAAAGUACUUUCAGCGGGGAGGAAGGGAGUAAAGUUAAUACCUUUGCUCAUUGACGUUACCCGCAGAAGAAGCACCGGCUAACUCCGUG
RNAcentral lists this ribosomal RNA (490 nucleotides) under uncultured bacterium. RNAcentral's name for it is "partial 16S ribosomal RNA". It matches the Rfam family "Bacterial small subunit ribosomal RNA", at positions 30 to 507 of the family's 1533-position model. The record is from RNAcentral.